Molecule: long non-coding RNA, 1431 nt
Organism: Triticum aestivum (bread wheat)
Lineage: Eukaryota; Viridiplantae; Streptophyta; Magnoliopsida; Poales; Poaceae
Exons: 2
Source: RefSeq, a predicted model, not a curated record
UUCGGAGAAGCGGUCGUCGCGAACGAACCCCACUCCCUUAUCCAUUCUCCCCACUCCAUUCCCCACAUCCCGAAUCCUCCUGGCCGGCGACCUAGAGACCCGAGUGAGGCGGAGUCCGACCGCGGGCAGGUCGCCGCGAUGCUCGCCGACGCGAAGCACUAGCCGGUGUUCUUCGGAUCCGCGCCGCCCGGCUCGAGCUGCCGCGGCGGCCGCGGGCCGCGGCGGCCGCUGAGCAGCCUUCAUCUUCCCCUCCCGUCGUUGCCGAGCUGGCCGACCUCGACGCCAUCGGAAUCCGCCGUCGGCGAGCUGACCGUCCCCGCCGCCAUUAGAGGCCUCCGCCUCGGGCUGCUCCACCCUCUCGAUGCGGCUGCCAUUGCGAGAAGAGCCCCUUUCCGCUCUGGCGGUGAUCCCCUUUGCCGCUGUGGGAGAGGAGUCUCCUCGGCUCCGGCGUCGAUCCAACAAGCGGCAACCAUGGCGGGGUUGCAGCUGCGCGCGGCGCUGCUCGUGACGGCCGGUGACAUCACGGCUUCCGUCCUAGAGCUCCGUCUCCGCCGUUUCGCCUUACACAAGCGCGACGCGGAGGUUCUGGCAUGGCUUCCUGCAUCAACAGCUGAUGGCCAUCCAUGGCCCAGUGCCCUUCGUCGGGGGAGCUGUUGGUGCUCGCGUAGGCGGUGUGCUAGAGGAUGAGUUGCGGCUCGAACAAGAUCUGGGGAGGUCGGCGGCUUAGUCUUCCAUUUCCCCCCACGAUCGAGCCAGCAGGAACUGCUACUGUUGCUCAUGUGGAAAAAGGCCGGACCUGGUUGGUGGGGGUGUUCUCCUCCCGAACGAGUCGUACUCGUUUGAUCGAUCACCCUCCCGUCCCAAAUGUGACGUUCGGUCUCCGGUCUACCCAGACCGAACGGCGCGCGUUAUCGGGGUCCUUUUUUAUGGACCAAAAGAGACCCCGAAGCACUAGAGCUGGGCCAGGAAGUGGACGAGGAGGCCACAAGCCCCCUAGCUGCGCCCUACCCCCGAGGCGCUAGCUCGGGGCUUGUGGGCCCCUUGGCACCUCCUUGACAUGAGACCGAUGCCAAAAAUUCUUAUAAAUACAUAAACCUCCGAAAAGAACUCUAGAUCGGAAGUUCCGCCACCGCAAGCCUCUAUAUCCAUGAAAAACCAAUCGGGGCCUAUUCCGACACCCUAUCGGAGGGGGAAAUCAUCAUCGGAGUCCAUCUUCAUCAUCCCGAUGGUCUCCAUGACGAGGCGGGAGUAGGUUACCCUCGGGGCUGAGGGUAUGUACAAUAGCUAUGUGUUUGAUCUCUCUCCCUUGUGUUCUUGAUUUGGCACGAUCUUGAUGUACCACGAGCUUUGUUACUAUAGUUGGAUCAUAUGGUGUUUCUCCAUCUCUUUCUUCUUGCUAUGAAUUGAGUUUUACCUCUGAGGUUUCACUUU